CCUACGGGAGGCAGCAGUGAGGAAUAUUGGUCAAUGGCCGGAAGGCUGAACCAGCCAUGCCGCGUGAAGGUCAGUGCCCUAUGGGCGUUAAACCUCUUUUGUGCGGGAGCAAUAAUGGUCACGUGUGGCCAGACGAGAGUACCGUACGAAUAAGCAUCGGCUAACUCCGUGCCAGCAGCCGCGGUAAUACGGGGGAUGCAAGCGUUAUCCGGAUUUAUUGGGUUUAAAGGGUGCGUAGGCUGUGAGGUAAGUCAGCGGUGAAAUGCCCCCGCUCAACGGGGUGAAGUGCCAUUGAUACUGGCUUGCUGGAAUGCGGGUGCCGUGGGAGGAAUGUGUGGUGUAGCGGUGAAAUGCAUAGAUAUCACACAGAACACCGAUUGCGAAGGCAUCUCACGAAUCCGCGAUUGACGCUGAUGCACGAAAGCGUGGGUAUCAAACAGGAUUAGAUACCCCGGUAGUC
RNAcentral lists this ribosomal RNA (460 nucleotides) under uncultured bacterium. RNAcentral's name for it is "partial 16S ribosomal RNA". It matches the Rfam family "Bacterial small subunit ribosomal RNA", at positions 338 to 795 of the family's 1533-position model. The record is from RNAcentral.